Molecule: ribosomal RNA, 253 nt
Filed under: uncultured bacterium
Lineage: Bacteria
Description: partial 16S ribosomal RNA
Rfam family: Bacterial small subunit ribosomal RNA
Source: RNAcentral
UACAGAGGGUGCGAGCGUUAAUCGGAAUUACUGGGCGUAAAGCGCACGUAGGCGGCUUGGUAUGUCGGGUGUGAAAUCCCCGGGCUCAACCCGGGAACUGCGUCCGAUACUGGAAGGCUUGAAUCCGGGAGAGGGAUGUGGAAUUCCAGGUGUAGCGGUGAAAUGCGUAGAUAUCUGGAGGAACACCGGUGGCGAAGGCGACAUCCUGGACCGGUAUUGACGCUGAGGCGCGAAAGCCAGGGGAGCAAACGGG